AGUUCCACCGGGUCGACGGCGCGGGAGGCGAGCAGGUAGUCGCGCAGCACCAUCGAGUGCCGUGCCUC
Molecule: small RNA, 68 nt
Filed under: Kitasatospora griseola
Lineage: Bacteria; Bacillati; Actinomycetota; Actinomycetes; Kitasatosporales; Streptomycetaceae
Description: ASdes TB sRNA
Rfam family: ASdes TB sRNA
Source: Rfam by way of RNAcentral